Molecule: RNA transcript, 1092 nt
Organism: Carlito syrichta (Philippine tarsier)
Lineage: Eukaryota; Metazoa; Chordata; Mammalia; Primates; Tarsiidae
Gene name: cell division cycle-associated protein 7 pseudogene
Exons: 1
Source: RefSeq, a predicted model, not a curated record
GGAUCGCAGAGUAAAGUUCAAGAAAUUCAGAUAUGUGAAGUUGAUUUCCAUGGAAACUGCGUCAUCCUCUGAUGACAGUUGUGACAGCUUUGCUUCUGAUAAUUUUGCAAACACGAGACUACAGUCAGUCCGGGAAGGCUGUCGCACACGCAGCCAAGGCAGACACUCUGCACCCCUCAGGGUAGCCAUGAAGUUUCCAGCGCGAAACAGCAGGGGAGCGGCCAACAAGAAAGCAGAGUCCCCCCAACCUUCAAAUAAUUCUGUGACCAAUUCUAAUUCUGAUUCAGAAGAAGAAAGCGGCAUGAAUUUUUUGGAGAAAAGUGCUUUAAAUAUAAAGCAAAAACAAAGCAAUGCUUGCAAAACUCAUGUCAGAAUUAGAAAGUUUCCCUGGCUCAUUCCCUAGAAGACAUUCCUUUCCAGGUCCCAGUUCACAACUGAAGAGACCCCGCAGGCGAACGUUCCCAGAUGUCGCCUCCAGGAGAAACCUUGAACGGAGAGCUCGCCCUCUCACCAGGUCGAGGUCCCGGAUCCUGGGGUCCCUUGGUCCUCUACCCAUGGAGGAGGAAGAGGAAGAGGAAGAGGAUAAGUACAUGUUGGUGAGGAAGAGGAAGACCAUAGAUGGCUACAUGAACGAAGACGACAUGCCCAGAAUUCGUCGCUCCAGGUCACCCAUGACCCUUCCGCAUAUAAUUCGCCCAGUGGAAGAAAUUACAGAGGAAGAGUUGGAAAACAUCUGCCAACACUUCUCGAGAGAAGAUCUAUAACCGUUCGCUGGGCUCUACUUGUCAUCAGUGCCGCCAGAAAACGAUUGAUACCAAAACAAACUGCAGAAACCCAGACUGCUGGGACGUUCGAGGCCAGUUCUGUGGCCCCUGCCUUCGAAACCGUUACGGUGAAGAGGUCAGGGAUGCUCUGCUGGAUCCGAACUGGCACUGCCCACCUUGUCGAGGGAUAUGCAACUGCAGUUUCUGCCGGCAGCGAGAUGGACGGUGCGCCACGGGGGUCCUUGUGUAUUUAGCCAAGUACCAUGGCUUUGGGAAUGUGCAUGCUUACUUAAAAAGUCUGAAACAAGAGUUUGAAAUGCAAGCGUGA